This is a long non-coding RNA of Gasterosteus aculeatus aculeatus (three-spined stickleback), 4293 nucleotides long. The record is from Ensembl. NCBI's taxonomy places the organism in Eukaryota, Metazoa, Chordata, Actinopteri, Perciformes, Gasterosteidae.
UGUAGAUGUAAUCCUGUACGAUGUGAUCCAUGUAGAUGUGAUCCUGUAGUGUGAUCCUGUAUAUGUGAUCCAUGUAGAUGUGAUCCUGUAGUAUGUGAUCCUGUAGAUUGUGAUCCUGUAGAUGUGAUCCUGUAGAUGUGAUCCAUGUAGAUGUGAUCCUGUAGUGUGAUCCUGUAGAUGUGAUCCAUGUAGAUGUGAUCCUGUAGUGUGAUCCUGUAGAUGUGAUCCAUGUAGAUGUGAUCCUGUAGUGUGAUCCUGUAGAUGUGAUCCUGUAGAUGUGAUCCAGUUUGUGGGAAAGCAAUAGUUAAUUUCCCUUUAGAGCCUGUGGCGUCACAUGACUUACAUCAUAGGUCUGUUCACCUUCACACUAAUGAGCUCUGAUUAAAUGCAUGAAAUCUCGUCCUUCCAUCCAAUCAUCACGUUUGUGCUCACCUGAUAGUGAUGCUUGGUUGAACCAACAUGACACACUUACAGUCACCUUCAUAUGUGUGUAUAAGGGGAUUAUGGGUAAAAGUGUAGAAUAAAAGAGAUCAUGUUGUUAAGAUAUAAAAGAGAAGAAUGAACACAGAGAAAAGCUCCAUUCAGACGGAUGGAAACACUGGACUCGCCGACUGUAUGUGUGUGUGUGUGUGUGUGCGCGUGUUUGUGUGCGUGUGUGAGUGUGUGUGUGACAGACAUGAAACAGAAAAACAGUGUCACAGUUUUCCCUGCCUUCCUCCUGGCAGACUGCAGCGAGAGGACGACUCGGAAAAAUCUGAUCUCAAAACAGCCGUCCCUGUGUGUGUGUGUGUGUGUUUGUGUGUGUGCGUGCGUGUGUGUGUGUGUGCGUGUGUGUGUGUGCGUGUGUCCACUUCUGUCAUUGUGCGUUCUGUUGUUUUCCAUCCAUUACAUUGACGGCAUGUUUGUGUGUCUUUUAUCCUUUUCCGUCUGUGUGUGUAGUUGUGUGUGUGGUUGUGUGAUUGUGUUUCCGUUUUUGCCACAAAUCAGAUCAACUGAAGGAACUUUUCCUGCUUCUCUCUGUUUCUCCCCCUUUUUCUCCCCUGCUUAACCUUCCUCCCUUUUCCACACUUUUUACUUUACUCACGCUUGUUUUUUUCUCUCUUAGUCCCCCUAACUCCCCCUCUCCCCCUCAUCUUUUUUGGUGUGUCUGUGUGUGAUAGUAAAAAAGGGAGGGAGGGGGGUUUUCUGCUUCACAACCUCGGUGACCACUUCCUCCGUCCACAUCCUGUUUAUUUUCUGUUUGGCGAUAGAGACCGGACUCCCUCAGAAAUAAACACAAAAAAGAACCCACACAACAACACAAGAAACUCCUAAUUACAUCUUCAAACACACGCACACACACACACACACACACACACACACAAUAGAACCACUAGAAUAUUCUCAAAUACAAAGGAAAACAAAAAUAAAAAAGGUUAUGAUCAUUCGUUGGUGAAAAAAACGGUAUCUCCGGAAUCAGGAACAUUUAUUGCCAACAUGUGUCAGACAUACGAGGAAUUUGACGUGGUGCAAAACAUCGGACAGUAAUGAGACAAAUGACACACUGAUCUGAGGUGUGAGUGACAGUUUAUCUUCUUGUUCCAGGAUGUCCACGUGAGGACGCUCUCUGAGGGGAUCCCCGCCGGCAACAGGUGAGCUCACACCCGACACAAGGGCUCCUCAGGGGGCCUUUGGGGGCCCAGAAGGUUAGCUCUGAUUGUAGUCUGAUUGUACUCUGGUUGUACUCUUGAUUGUACUCUGGUUGUAUUCUGGUUGUACUCUGAUUGUACUCUGGUUGUAGUCUGGUUGUAGUCUGAUUGUACUCUGGUUGUACUCUGAUUGUACUCUGGUUGUAUUCUGGUUGUGGUCUGAUUGUACUCUGGUUGUAGUCUGGUUGUAGUCUGGUUGUACUCUGGUUGUAUUCUGGUUAUACUCUGAUUGUACUCUGGUUAUAGUCUGGUUGUACUCUGGUUGUAGUCUGGUUGUAAUCUGGUUCUACUCUGGUUGUAGUCUAGUUGUACUGGUUCUGAUGGUAUUUGGGAGAUUUUAUGGAAUUCCCCCUGAUGGUUUCUGUGCUGCUUGCUGAGCGGUCCAGUUAGAAUAGGACCGAGCAGCAGAGGACACAAUGUCAAUGUGACCACCACCAGAAUGUAACUAGAAGUCGGCCGCAGACCAAACACACACACACACAUUCCGGCAGGCUUAAUUACCAUAAGUCGAAGUGGCCGGCAUGAUUUUGGUUUCACACAGACACGGUGGCUGGUGGACCAAAAGCAUGUUGCAAAGCCACAGAAGUAUAUGUUACCCUAUCACACACACACACACACACACACACACACGGACACACACACACACACGGACACACAUUCAGGCUCCUCAGCAGCCUGCUGUGUGCCAAGGUUAUGAAAUAGUUUGCGUUUGCGCGCCUUUCAACACAAUUCUUUGUGCUUCCAUUCAAGCCGGGACACGACUCAGGGAGAGUUAAAAAUAGACCCUCGCUGACCUCUUCCUCACUCUUCCUCACUCUUCCCCUCUCUCUCUCUCUCUCACCCCCCUUCCUUUUUCUCUUUCAAUCCGAUAUUGUUGCAGCUGUCUUGCUCCACUUGGGUGAUGCUCGUGCUCUCACCCAGGCAAAGAGGGGUCGGGGGGUCGAGGACUUCUACACUCACUUGCUCCACACAAUACAUCCUCACAAUUCACCAAACAGGCAGAACAAACAUAAUCUCAAAGCAUAAUCCAGGGGUGUAAACGGGCUUUAUUGACAGCGAGGAUACGGUUGCCCCAGACUAUCUCUGGAGGACUUUUGGAUGCCUCGACGUGCGCCGAGCGGGCAGGUGGCAGACAGCUGGAAGAAAACCAUCUGGAAAAUACUGGAAAAUAUGAAACUCUUAAUAACAGCGGUUGUUGUGGGCGAAGGAAGAGGCGAGCGAAGCCGAGACGGCCCCACAAAGUUCCGUAUAAACGCUAUUUGGCUGAGCGUCGGCUGCAGCGCUUCUUAAACUGCUCUUUCUAACGUUUCGUAAUGACGCAGAGGAGCCGGUCUGACUCGUUUCUGCUCUUUAAUGAAACUAUUUCCCCACAAGUCGAAUCAGCAGCACCCUUCAAACGUUUUGCUGAGCGCGCAGGAAGCCCGGAGUGAAUUAUGAACGAGGGUCGGCCUCGUUCGUACACGAUUAACCUCUGUCGAGAGGACACGGCGGCGCGCUGGAGCGCACGUCUGGACCCGGCCGACGGCCAAUCAGACGUUCCGUACCCGGCCGACUUCCUGGCCCCGAGGCGAGGACCCAGAGGUCCGGCUGGUUGGUGGCGCGUUGUGAUGAACUACUGCUGCUCUUUUCUUCCCUUAUUCCAUUUCGUACGUCAGCGACCACGUGGCGCCGGAGCGGAACAGACUCGAACACGUCUUAGCUGUGGUUUCUUUGUCUGGUUUCUCUUUGUGUUUGUAGAAAGGAAUGAAUAAACAAACAAACGUUUCGACGUCUCCUGACGUUGAUUUUGAGAAUCUUUCAUGAACAUGAAUAUGUUCAUCUCUCUGCCACGUUCUGAAUGUACUUACUAAUACUUUUAAACUGUAGCUGUUGUUGUUGUGUUUGCUCCAAUGCCAAUACGUUGUUCAAUCAAUUUCAUUUAGCCAGAAGCCACGAGUGCAUUAUUUACGAGGGUCAGCGGUACUCGAUUGACCUCAAUAACUCACUGCGGUAAAAGGGAAACCGUGUAAGAGGUCUGACUGGUUAAAGGCAGCGCCGACACCAUCGGUGACCCAACUGGCCAAUCAGACGUCCGGCAACGGGCCGACUAUCCGAGCGAGUUUCUUUUCUCGUUUCAGAGUUUCAGAGUUCUCCAGGAGGAGGCGUCAGACAUUUCAGGUCAGAACUUCCCCAGUUCAAACGUAUUUACUGCGAUGAACCGCAGACACCGCAAUAAAUGAGCACUGAUUCGCUGAUUCAUUACUUCAAAGAACCACCUGUUAAACCACGAGAUCUCACGCAGAUCAUCGGGUAACCUCCUACUGCACACGGGCCGGUUCUCACUGCCUACCUGGAAGAGGAGCAUCGGCACGGGACGCUCGCCAGGACGCUUUCUCACACACAAUUUUAGUUGAUGACAUUGCUCACCAGCCCCCCAUCACCUUAAGUGUAACGUCACUCCAUAAUAAAUCCACAACAAAGGCGCCAUGCAUUCGCCCUUUUGUUGGGAGACCUUCUUGGCUUCAUUGAUGAAGAAGAUGAACCGCUGACCCAGAAUCAGGUGAACGGGUCCCACAAAGAGGUCCACCUGAAUGUCAGCGUGGGUUCUGCAUCACUGGUUAAUAAC